GAGGUUUCGAGACGAAAGCGUAGCGGCUGAUUCCCUGUUUCUACUCUGUUUUAUAUCGACGAAUUUGCAGUUUUGAAUUAAAGAACAAGAAGAUCCAUAGAAGAUUUUCAAACAAGAAGAUAUUAAAUUAUAAAACUUCAUAAAUUACAAGCAAUCUGUAAAAUCUGAAAACAGAGGGACGUACAAUUAAAGCAUAAUUUGCAACAAUUAUUUGAAAACACAAACAGACACAACGUAUAACGGUAUACAGAGAUCAUAACUAAUCAUGGGGAUAUUUUGGAGAAGAAACAGAGUUUACAAGCAACUUGCUUUAUUUUCUUCAAAAUCCAGGCGAAGAUUUGUCGCUUUAUGGCUCCUCGGACGGGAGUCACAAAUGGGUACGUAUUGCUUUUCUUGCGCUUGCCUGAAAAUGCAGAAUCAGACUCAAAAUUCUUCAUGCUAGUUUGCGCCUCCAUGUAUGGAUUUCUAAAGAGGCUGUGUGGCUUUCUGGUUCCAAAAAAAAAAAAAAGAGAGAGAGAGAGAGAGAGGCUGUGGCUGGGCGGGGGUGGUGGUGGCGGGUUCUGUUCC
RNAcentral lists this long non-coding RNA (567 nucleotides) under Olea europaea (common olive). RNAcentral describes it as "long non-coding RNA (OEUR_LNC006664)". The record is from RNAcentral. Lineage: Eukaryota; Viridiplantae; Streptophyta; Magnoliopsida; Lamiales; Oleaceae.